Molecule: ribosomal RNA, 415 nt
Filed under: uncultured prokaryote
Description: bacterial SSU rRNA
Rfam family: Archaeal small subunit ribosomal RNA
Source: RNAcentral
GUGUCAGCCGCCGCGGUAAUACCGGCGGCCCGAGUGGCGGCCACUUUUAUUGGGCCUAAAGCGUCCGUAGCCGGGCUGGUAAGUCCUCCGGGAAAUCUGGUCGCUUAACGAUCAGACUGCCGGAGGAUACUGCCAGCCUUGGGACCGGGAGAGGCCGGGGGUAUUCCCGGGGUAGGGGUGAAAUCCUGUAAUCCCGGGAGGACCACCUGUGGCGAAGGCGCCCGGCUGGAACGGGUCCGACGGGGAGGGACGAAGGCCAGGGGAGCGAACCGGAUUAGAUACCCGGGUAGUCCUGGCCGUAAACGAUGGAUGCUAGAUGUGGGCGGGGAGACCCGUCCGUGUCGCAAGCUAACGCGUUAAGCAUCCCGCCUGGGGAGUACGGCCGCAAGGUUGAAACUUAAAUGAAUUGACGGGG